UAGGGAAUCUUCGGCAAUGGACGAAAGUCUGCCCGAGCAACGCCGCGCGAGUGAAGAAGGUUUUCGGAUCGUAAAACUCUGUUGUUAGAGUAGAACAAGGACGUUAGUAACUGAACGUCCCCUGACGGUAUCUAACCAGAAAGCCACGGCUAACUAGGCGCCAGCAGCCGCGGUAAUACGUAGGUGGCAAGCGUUGUCUGGAUUUAUUGGGCGUAAAGCGAGCGCAGGCGGUUUCUUAAGUCUGAUGUGAAAGCCCCCGGCUCAACCGGGGAGGGUCAUUGGAAACUGGGUGACUUGAGUGCAGAAGAGGGGGGUGGAAUUCCAUGUGUAGCAGUGAAAUGCGUAGAUAUAUGGAGGAACACCAGUGGCGAAGGCGGCUCUCUGAUCUGUAACUGACGCUGAGGCUCGAAAGCGUGGGGAGCAAACAGG
RNAcentral lists this ribosomal RNA (429 nucleotides) under Gemmatimonadota bacterium. RNAcentral describes it as "Gemmatimonadetes bacterium partial 16S ribosomal RNA". It matches the Rfam family "Bacterial small subunit ribosomal RNA", at positions 355 to 776 of the family's 1533-position model. Lineage: Bacteria; Pseudomonadati; Gemmatimonadota. The record is from RNAcentral.